This 429-nucleotide ribosomal RNA is filed under the name Bacteroidota bacterium. RNAcentral's name for it is "Bacteroidetes bacterium partial 16S ribosomal RNA". It matches the Rfam family "Bacterial small subunit ribosomal RNA", at positions 355 to 776 of the family's 1533-position model. The record is from RNAcentral. Lineage: Bacteria; Pseudomonadati; Bacteroidota.
UAGGGAAUCUUCCGCAAUGGACGCAAGUCUGACGGAGCAACGCCGCGUGAGUGAAGAAGGAUUUCGGUUCGUAAAACUCUGUUGUUAGAGAAGAACAGCGCAUAGAGUAACUGUUAUGCGUGUGACGGUAUCUAACCAGAAAGCCACGGCUAACUACGUGCCAGCAGCCGCGGUAAUACGUAGGUGGCAAGCGUUGUCCGGAUUUAUUGGGCGUAAAGCGAGCGCAGGCGGUCAAUUAAGUCUGAUGUGAAAGCCCCCGGCUCAACCGGGGAGGGUCAUUGGAAACUGGGUGAGUUGAGUGCAGAAGAGGGGAGUGGAAUUCCAUGUGUAGCGGUGAAAUGGGUAGAUAUAUGGAGGAAAACCAGUGGCGAAGGCGACUCUGUGGUCUGUAGCUGACGCUGAGGUUCGAAAGCGUGGGUAGCAAACAGG